AUUAUAUUCAAUCUCUAUAGGAACAUACAAAGCCUAAACUGAACAGAGAAAAUUAUGUCAUUAACGAACUGAUUCAAGAAUAUCUUCAGUUCAAUAAUUACAAAUACACCAGUGCUGUCCUUACACAAGAAUCAGGCCAGACUGAGGAAACAUUGCCUCGUGACAUAGUUGCUAGAGAACUACAAAUUCCACCAGAUGACAGCAAUUUGCCUUUGCUCUACAGAAUAGUUAAUCAUCUGGCACAUAGCACUUAAUGCAGAGAUAUUUAAAUAAAAUUAAAUUACAACAAUGAUGAACUAAAAAUUUAGUUUUCAAUUUCAUUUGUUAAUUUUAUAUUAAUCAUAAUGCCACCAUUAUCAGGCAGAAAA
This is a long non-coding RNA of Amphimedon queenslandica, 368 nucleotides long. RefSeq lists it as uncharacterized. The transcript is spliced from 3 exons. The record is from RefSeq and is a predicted model, not a curated record. Lineage: Eukaryota; Metazoa; Porifera; Demospongiae; Haplosclerida; Niphatidae.